This 505-nucleotide ribosomal RNA is filed under the name uncultured Streptococcus sp. Its description in RNAcentral is "bacterial SSU rRNA". It matches the Rfam family "Bacterial small subunit ribosomal RNA", at positions 278 to 776 of the family's 1533-position model. Lineage: Bacteria; Bacillati; Bacillota; Bacilli; Lactobacillales; Streptococcaceae. The record is from RNAcentral.
AAUACAUAACCGACCUGAGAAGGAAAUCGGCCACACUGGGACUGAGACACGGCCCAGACUCCUACGGGAGGCAGCAGUAGGGAAUCUUCGGCAAUGGACGGAAGUCUGACCGAGCAACGCCGCGUGAGUGAAGAAGGUUUUCGGAUCGUAACGCUCUGUUAAAGAGAAGAACGAGUGUGAGAGUGGAAAGUUCACACUGUGACGGUAUCUUACCAGAAAGGGACGGCUAACUACGUGCCAGCAGCCGCGGUAAUACGUAGGUCCCGAGCGUUGUCCGGAUUUAUUGGGCGUAAAGCGAGCGCAGGCGGUUAGAUAAGUCUGAAGUUAAAGGCUGUGGCUUAACCAUAGUACGCUUUGGAAACUGUUUAACUUGAGUGCAAGAGGGGAGAGUGGAAUUCCAUGUGUAGCGGUGCAAUGCGUAGAUAUAUGGAGGAACACCGGUGGCGAAAGCGGCUCUCUGGCUUGUAACUGACGGUGAGGCUCGAAAGCGUGGGGAGCAAACAGG